UACGAAGGGGGCUAGCGUUGUUCGGAUUUACUGGGCGUAAAGGGCGCGUAGGCGGUCAGCACAAGUCAGUUGUGAAAUCUCCGGGCUUAACUCGGAAAGGUCAACUGAUACUGUGCGACUAGAGUGCAGAAGGGGCAACUGGAAUUCUCGGUGUAGCGGUGAAAUGCGUAGAUAUCAGGAGGAACACCUGCGGUGUAGACGGCUUUCUGGACCAUUACUGACACUGAGACACGAAAGCGUGGGUAGCAAACAGG
This 254-nucleotide ribosomal RNA is filed under the name uncultured bacterium. RNAcentral's name for it is "partial 16S ribosomal RNA". It matches the Rfam family "Bacterial small subunit ribosomal RNA", at positions 524 to 776 of the family's 1533-position model. The record is from RNAcentral.